CCUACGGGUGGCAGCAGUGGGGAAUAUUGCACAAUGGGGGAAACCCUGAUGCAGCGACGCCGCGUGAGUGAAGAAGUAUUUCGGUAUGUAAAGCUCUAUCAGCAGGGAAGAAGAUGACGGUACCUGAGUAAGAAGCCCCGGCUAACUACGUGCCAGCAGCCGCGGUAAUACGUAGGGGGCAAGGGUUAUCCGGAUUUACUGGGUGUAAAGGGAGCGUAGACGGUGAGACAAGUCUGAAGUGAAAGCCCAGGGCUCAACCCCGGGACUGCUUUGGAAACUGCCAGACUGGAGUGCUGGAGAGGCAAGCGGAAUUCCUAGUGUAGCGGUGAAAUGCGUAGAUAUUAGGAAGAACACCAGUGGCGAAGGCGGCUUACUGGACAGUAACUGACGUUGAGGCUCGAAAGCGUGGGGAGCAAACAGGAUUAGAUACCCGGGUAGUC
This 440-nucleotide ribosomal RNA is filed under the name uncultured bacterium. RNAcentral's name for it is "partial 16S ribosomal RNA". It matches the Rfam family "Bacterial small subunit ribosomal RNA", at positions 338 to 795 of the family's 1533-position model. The record is from RNAcentral.